Mus musculus (house mouse) is the source of this 831-nucleotide long non-coding RNA. RefSeq annotates it as predicted gene, 40690. The transcript is spliced from 5 exons. The record is from RefSeq and is a predicted model, not a curated record. NCBI's taxonomy places the organism in Eukaryota, Metazoa, Chordata, Mammalia, Rodentia, Muridae.
UAUUUGAACCAGGACACUGUUUUGUGUUUAAUAUUUCCAUCAUCUCUUUCAGUAAUGGAUGGAUCUACAGGAUGAUAAUUGACCUGAAAACAAAAGUUAGGAACAAUAGUAAAAUACAUGUGAUCCUGUGUUUUUAAAUAUUUGCUUUUAUUUACAUGUUUGUGGGCUUGUAAGCCACAUGUGUACAGGAACCAGAGGGGGGCAUUGGAUCCUCUGUAGCAGGGCAUAUAAAAGUCUGCCUGUGAACUGCCUAAUACGUGUGCUGGAAACUGGACUCCAGGCUUCUGGAAGACUAGUAGCACCAGAGACACUUUCUCCAUGGAAACCUGGUGGUAUGACAGCUAGGGAAAUAGCAACCACAUUCAUCACGCAGUUUCAGCAGUGACCCACUUAGAGUGUGACGGCUGGAGCCAGCGUGCUGAUGUCUCAUUUAGCCCACUUCAGGACAAGUGAAUGCUCAGGAGACCCAGGUGACUGCGUCUUCAGCUGAGAAGCACAUGGGAAUUUUGAUUUAGCUCCCAAAGACCUCUCUAAAGACACUGCUCAUAGGUGGGAACCACAGAAACCAUAGGAGGGCAUCAAAUUCCCAAGAACUGGAAUUAUUGGCAAUUGUGAGCUUCCACGUGGAUCCCGAAACCUGAACCUGAGUUGUCUGCGAGAAGAGGAAUCUGAUCUAGUACCAAAUAAAGCUGGCUUGAAGAUUCUGCUGAUGCCUCUUGGGCCACUCUAUGUUGUCUGUAUUGCUGAACACAGCUGUCAGGAACCCAUCUAUAUUCAUAUCUGGAGUACUACCAAAUAUGAAAUGUCCUGAGAAUAACUCGUCUUUGGUGA